CUACGGGAGGCUGCAGUGAGGAAUAUUGCACAAUGGGGGGAACCCUGAUGCAGCAACGCCGCGUGGAGGAUGACGCAUUUCGGUGUGUGAACUCCUUUUAUAUGUCAAGAAAAUGACGGUAGCAUAUGAAUAAGCACCGGCUAACUCCGUGCCAGCAGCCGCGGUAAUACGGAGGGUGCAAGCGUUACUCGGAAUCACUGGGCGUAAAGGACGCGUAGGCGGGUUGGAAAGUCAGGUGUGAAAUCCUACAGCUUAACUGUAGAACUGCACUUGAAACUUCUAAUCUAGAGUAUGGGAGGGGGGGAUGGAAUUAGUGGUGUAGGGGUAAAAUCCGUAGAUAUCACUAGGAAUACCUAAAGCGAAGGCGAUCUCCUGGAACAUUACUGACGCUAAGGCGUGAAAGCGUGGGGAGCAAACAGGAUUAGAUACCCCCGUAGUC
RNAcentral lists this ribosomal RNA (439 nucleotides) under uncultured bacterium. Its description in RNAcentral is "partial 16S ribosomal RNA". It matches the Rfam family "Bacterial small subunit ribosomal RNA", at positions 339 to 795 of the family's 1533-position model. The record is from RNAcentral.